This 209-nucleotide long non-coding RNA is filed under the name Prunus persica (peach). RNAcentral's name for it is "long non-coding RNA (PPER_LNC001286)". The record is from RNAcentral. Lineage: Eukaryota; Viridiplantae; Streptophyta; Magnoliopsida; Rosales; Rosaceae.
UGGGCUUCAACUUUCAAUGUAACAAAAAAAAAAAAAAGGUCAUUUGGAUUCAAAUAGGAGAUCACAAUUUUGCAAGUCUAAGGCGACUAGACCAUGUUGGCAUUUGACCCAUCAACUUAAUACAAGUCCAAAACUGUAAUGUGGCCUUACAAUUAUCAAUUAAAGUUGAGAACUUUUUUUUGCUAAUUGGGAAAUAAGUUGCUUUUUCC